ACCCGCUGAACUUAAGCAUAUCAAUAAGCGGAGGAAAAGAAACCAACAGGGAUUGCUCUAGUAACGGCGAGUGAAGCAGCAAUAGCUCAAAUUUGAAAUCUGGCGUCUUCGACGUCCGAGUUGUAAUUUGUAGAGGAUGCUUCUGAGUGGCCACCGACCUAAGUUCCUUGGAACAGGACGUCAUAGAGGGUGAGAAUCCCGUAUGCGGUCGGAAAGGCGCUCUAUACGUAGCUCCUUCGACGAGUCGAGUUGUUUGGGAAUGCAGCUCUAAAUGGGAGGUAAAUUUCUUCUAAAGCUAAAUAUUGGCCAGAGACCGAUAGCGCACAAGUAGAGUGAUCGAAAGAUGAAAAGCACUUUGGAAAGAGAGUUAAAAAGCACGUGAAAUUGUUAAAAGGGAAGGGAUUGCAACCAGACUUGCUCGCGGUGUUCCGCCGGUCUUCUGACCGGUCUACUCGCCGCGUUGCAGGCCAGCAUCGUCUGGUGCCGCUGGAUAAGACUUGAGGAAUGUAGCUCCCUCGGGAGUGUUAUAGCCUCUUGUGAUGCAGCGAGCGCCGGGCGAGGUCCGCGCUUCGGCUAGGAUGCUGGCGUAAUGGUCGUAAUCCGCCCGUCUUGAAACACGGACCAAGGAGUCUAACAUCUAUGCGAGUGUUCGGGUGUCAAACCCCUACGCGUAAUGAAAGUGAACGGAGGUGAGAACCGCAAGGUGCAUCAUCGACCGAUCCUGAUGUCUUCGGAUGGAUUUGAGUAAGAGCGUAGCUGUUGGGACCCGAAAGAUGGUGAACUAUGCCUGAAUAGGGUGAAGCCAGAGGAAACUCUGGUGGAGGCUCGCAGCGGUUCUGACGUGCAAAUCGAUCGUCAAAUUUGGGUAUAGGGGCGAAAGACUAAUCGAACCAUCUAGUAGCUGGUUCCUGCCGAAGUUUCCCU
RNAcentral lists this ribosomal RNA (924 nucleotides) under Cladosporium herbarum. RNAcentral describes it as "LSU rRNA". It matches the Rfam family "Eukaryotic large subunit ribosomal RNA", at positions 23 to 973 of the family's 3401-position model. Lineage: Eukaryota; Fungi; Ascomycota; Dothideomycetes; Cladosporiales; Cladosporiaceae. The record is from RNAcentral.